Molecule: long non-coding RNA, 366 nt
Organism: Argiope bruennichi
Lineage: Eukaryota; Metazoa; Arthropoda; Arachnida; Araneae; Araneidae
Exons: 4
Source: RefSeq, a predicted model, not a curated record
GGAACCUUCCAGAUUUAAUAUUACGAGCUCGCGUUGGGUAAUGCAUAUACUACUAGUUCUGUCUUACAAGCUUGCUGUUUACAAGAUUCUGCUCUGAAAAGAAAUCUCUCAUUUAUGAUAAAAAAAAUUAGCCUUCGUUGAUAAAAUAAACGGCAUAAAAACAGAAAUGAAGAACUGUUUUAACAGGUAUGACAGCUCAACAUUUCACCACAAACUCGGAAAAUGAAGAACCUCUAUGAAUUUCAAUAUCAAAAUUUUUCCAGAAGAAAGAAUUGGCCGCUAUAAGGAUCAAGGAACUCUCUAAUUUUUGUUAAUAAAUUGUCAUCGAAGCAUAAAGUUACAAAGAAGUUUGCCGUUAUCAACGAG